RNAcentral lists this ribosomal RNA (872 nucleotides) under Salmonella enterica subsp. enterica serovar Mbandaka. Its description in RNAcentral is "partial 23S ribosomal RNA". It matches the Rfam family "Bacterial large subunit ribosomal RNA", at positions 1 to 904 of the family's 2925-position model. The record is from RNAcentral. Lineage: Bacteria; Pseudomonadati; Pseudomonadota; Gammaproteobacteria; Enterobacterales; Enterobacteriaceae.
GGGUUGUGAGGUUAAGCGACUAAGCGUACACGGUGGAUGCCCUGGCAGUCAGAGGCGAUGAAGGACGUGCUAAUCUGCGAUAAGCGCCGGUAAGGUGAUAUGAACCGUUAUAACCGGCGAUUUCCGAAUGGGGAAACCCAGUGUGAUUCGUCACACUAUCAUUAACUGAAUCCAUAGGUUAAUGAGGCGAACCGGGGGAACUGAAACAUCUAAGUACCCCGAGGAAAAGAAAUCAACCGAGAUUCCCCCAGUAGCGGCGAGCGAACGGGGAGGAGCCCAGAGCCUGAAUCAGCAUGUGUGUUAGUGGAAGCGUCUGGAAAGGCGCGCGAUACAGGGUGACAGCCCCGUACACAAAAGCGCAUGUGCUGUGAGCUCGAUGAGUAGGGCGGGACACGUGGUAUCCUGUCUGAAUAUGGGGGGACCAUCCUCCAAGGCUAAAUACUCCUGACUGACCGAUAGUGAACCAGUACCGUGAGGGAAAGGCGAAAAGAACCCCGGCGAGGGGAGUGAAAAAGAACCUGAAACCGUGUACGUACAAGCAGUGGGAGCACAGGUUUACCUGUGUGACUGCGUACCUUUUGUAUAAUGGGUCAGCGACUUAUAUUCUGUAGCAAGGUUAACCGUAUAGGGGAGCCGUAGGGAAACCGAGUCUUAACCGGGCGUUAAGUUGCAGGGUAUAGACCCGAAACCCGGUGAUCUAGCCAUGGGCAGGUUGAAGGUUGGGUAACACUAACUGGAGGACCGAACCGACUAAUGUUGAAAAAUUAGCGGAUGACCUGUGGCUGGGGGUGAAAGGCCAAUCAAACCGGGAGAUAGCUGGUUCUCCCCGAAAGCUAUUUAGGUAGCGCCUCGUGAAUUCAUCUCCGGGGGUA